This 606-nucleotide unclassified non-coding RNA is filed under the name Hevea brasiliensis (rubber tree). The record is from RNAcentral. Lineage: Eukaryota; Viridiplantae; Streptophyta; Magnoliopsida; Malpighiales; Euphorbiaceae.
GAUAACCUUUGAAGCUUAAGCCAAAUGAUAAAUCAUUCACACAAAUAAGUGCAUAGAAUUUUAAGCAAUAGCAAUUGAAAUAUUAGUGGCAAAUAUAAUAGGCCCUCAGUGAGAAAAUAGUUAAGAAUUGAAACGCUGGUCGUUCUCCAGUGGCUAACCCACGCAACCACCAUAUGUGUUAUGCCUGUGGAAGGAGAAUCCUUAAAACACCUCAGUUUUACGUACUGAUCUCCGAAGAAAAGCAACAUCAUCCCUUCUUGUCAUAGGCAGCUAUAUUUUGUGGUUCACAUUCAGGACUAAAUAGACGAACUAGCAAAGCGGUGCUUGAGCUCACAGUAACAGCCCCACAAGCUGCCCAUCUAAGACUUCUAGGAACUGUGAUUCUAGGACCAUAGUGCAAUCGGCAAAGAAUCCAAAAUCCUAAUGCUCCUCCAACAGAAAAAAUCCCAGCAGUUUGUCUCAUUAGUCUUGUGCAAGGUUUUGCAUCUGAUCUCAUUAACUCUCCAUCCGAAUACCCAAGCAUACGCCUUAAAGCCAUCACACCAGAAACCUCAAUAAUCACCAAAUGCACAAUUGAAUCGCUGUUGCAGCUACUGAAGAUAGGGC